CCGAGUUUACAACUCCCAAACCCUUAUGUGAACCAUACCCAUCGUUGCUUCGGCGGGACCGCCCCGGCGCCUACAGCCCGGAACCAGGCGCCCGCCGGAGGCCACAAACUCCAUGUUUUUUAUACUGUAUCUUCUGAGUAACUGAAACAAUAAAUCA
RNAcentral lists this unclassified non-coding RNA (157 nucleotides) under uncultured Ascomycota. RNAcentral describes it as "sequence contains ITS1". The record is from RNAcentral. Lineage: Eukaryota; Fungi; Ascomycota.